CAGGAGGUAGUUUAUAAAAAAAUAUUAAUUUUGGGGAUUAAUGAAAUAGGAUUUCUUUCCUUCUGA
This 66-nucleotide transfer RNA is filed under the name Isophya major. RNAcentral describes it as "tRNA-Pro". The record is from RNAcentral. Lineage: Eukaryota; Metazoa; Arthropoda; Insecta; Orthoptera; Tettigoniidae.